Long non-coding RNA from Brassica napus (rape), 885 nucleotides. RefSeq lists it as uncharacterized. NCBI's taxonomy places the organism in Eukaryota, Viridiplantae, Streptophyta, Magnoliopsida, Brassicales, Brassicaceae. The record is from RefSeq and is a predicted model, not a curated record. The transcript is spliced from 4 exons.
AUUAUUAUAAAGAUAUGUUUCUCUCCUUCUGGUUGAGACACGUCAUCAAUUCGGUGAAGGAGAGUGCGACACCUGUCCUUCCUUUCAAAACGUCGCGUUUGAUUUCGAAAUUAACAAGGUCUCCUUUUGGAGUCUCCGCCGUCCCAAGAAAAGUUCUCCACUCCACACACACGAUAUCGUUGAAUGCAAUCCCUUUACUUCCUUUCCCAGAAUUUUGACUAUAAAAACAUCUUCGUGCUACCACAUCCUUUGAUCAAACACUGGAUCUUUGUCCUGAGAAAUGACCAAACUCAUUCUCCUAUUUUCAAAUGUCAGAUCCUUGCACAUGUGAAACAAGUCGUGAAAGUUGACUUUGGGAGGAACAUCAGCGGGUUGUUUAGGCACACGCUAUAACCGUUGGGAAGCGUACCAGAACCAGCUGGGGUUGUGUCCGUCAGCUCAGCCGUAGUCUUAGUCCUAACAUGAUUGUCUAGAGGCCCGAGUAGCUUAACUUAAGUGAUGUUAAAAAAAGUGAAGCUGAUUAUCAGCCGUUGUCAUCUCAGCUAAGCAUUUGUUCAGGGGCAAGCGUUACAAAGGUCAACAAUGGCACACAAUUGAACCUUCUGGCCAUGGUGAAUGCACAAAUCCAUCUCUCCGAAAUGAAGCCAGGGCGUAGCAAGCAGGUUGUGUUCACACGUCUGCUUUGGUUUUGGGGGUCUAGAAUGUUAAGAAAGGAGGAAAGCUAAUUGGGUUGACAUGGUGUAUGUUGCAGAAAAGGUUAGUAACAGAUCUUUUGUUUCUUAUGUAUCUAUAAAUGUAAAAGUGGUGUUUGUCUUAAACAAAAGAAUUGUAUUUGUAAUAAAUGUUUUGGAUAUCCGAUUGGGGUAAGAAUUUUUGAGACUCUGA